RNAcentral lists this ribosomal RNA (467 nucleotides) under uncultured bacterium. Its description in RNAcentral is "partial 16S ribosomal RNA". It matches the Rfam family "Bacterial small subunit ribosomal RNA", at positions 28 to 506 of the family's 1533-position model. The record is from RNAcentral.
GACGAACGCUGGCGGCGUGCUUAACACAUGCAAGUCGAACGGAAAGGCCCUGCUUUUGUGGGGUGCUCGAGUGGCGAACGGGUGAGUAACACGUGAGUAACCUGCCCUUGACUUUGGGAUAACUUCAGGAAACUGGGGCUAAUACCGGAUAGGAGCUCCUGCUGCAUGGUGGGGGUUGGAAAGUUUCGGCGGUUGGGGAUGGACUCGCGGCUUAUCAGCUUGUUGGUGGGGUAGUGGCUUACCAAGGCUUUGACGGGUAGCCGGCCUGAGAGGGUGACCGGCCACAUUGGGACUGAGAUACGGCCCAGACUCCUACGGGAGGCAGCAGUGGGGAAUAUUGCACAAGGGGCGGAAGCCUGAUGCAGCAACGCCGCGUGCGGGAUGACGGCCUUCGGGUUGUAAACCGCUUUCGCCUGUGACGAAGCGUGAGGGACGGGAAUGGGUAAAGAAGCACCGGCUAACUACGU